AACAUUUGCACAGUCAGGGUGGUACCAAUUCAGAAAAAUACUCCUGCCAAGGAGUAAGAGAAAGUGGAAAUGGAGAGAAGCCCUUCUUCCUCUCUACAGUCAAAAAGAAAGGGCAACCUUAAUUUGUGACCAAAUUUUCCUUGCUUUAUGUGGUUUUGUGUUAGAUUAGCUUUGCUGUGGCACUUAUCUGUUGUGGAAAAGCAGGGUGCUACUUUUCACUCCCUGCCAUAGUUUCCUGCUCCUUUUCCUGCAGUUAGCCAGUUUGGAGAACCAAAGCAGAAAAAAGCAAACGCUCAAGAAAAGUGACUCAUUUUCUGCCACUCUCAAGCCCUGCUCCAGCUCUGGGAAGGGUCAGCAGGUUGUGUCCUGGGGAAGAUGGAGGGCAGCAAAACCAACCAUUCGGGCAGCAGUUCUCCAUAAGAGCACCCUUAGCAAUUUGCUGUGCGCAGUGAAGAUCAGAAUCCUUCCAAUACUAAUGAAGAUUCAAUAUUCUCCUAUUUUCCAAGACUUUUCUAGGAAAGUAAAAGGGACCAAGUCCCUGCGAGAUCCUGCAGCAUCUUUUACUCGGCCGGCUCCCGCGGCGGACGCUCUCCCUCCUGCCCCUUCUCUCCGCCACAGGCUCCUCCGCUGCUGUGCCCUGCCUGCCUCGGUGCAUCAGAGACGAGGUUGUAACCUCUGAGGAAUUAAACAACUGUUAGCUAAACAGGAGAUGCUGUCAUAUUAAGAAACUUUCUCGAAGAUGUCUUACUGUUGCUAACGCCACUAGUAGCCAUGCUUUGAUCACUAGCACAAAUAGGCUCUUUGGUAAACAUCGGUUCUGAAGACUUCUUCUGGCUCGGCCUGAAUAACAGGAUAAUUAAAGUACCAACGAUCGUGUCAUGCUAUGCUGAUGUUAAUUAUCCCCUCUUGCAAACUUCAGUGAAGCAAGGGUGGAAAAUGUAGCAGAAGGACAUCCUUGACCUGCGGAGAACUGGUGCAAAAAGAUAUCCGAUCAUUUUUCUUUCCUGAAGACAGAGUUAUUUCACUUAAAUCCAUUAGGUGGAGAUUUUAACUGAACUGCAGUAAGAACCUGAGAGACUGAAAAUGCCUAUAGAGACAUUUAGUUUAAUUAAUUGUCAGCUAAAGUGAUCCAGCUUAAGUUUAGAAACGGGACUUUUUUUCCCCAAAGCAUUUAACGAAUAUAGGCCAUGGUAAAAACCGCUGAAGCUUCUGAGGGGCUUGCUGCUGGUGGUGUCAAGUAGCGUAUUUUGCUCUGCAGCGUGACGGGGCUCAGGACAGGCACGGUGUCUGCUGGGCGCCGCGGCUCGGCUCACAGCUAAGCGGAGGUCGACCGGUCGUCCCCAGCUGCGUGUCCGUACACCGAGUCCUAAGCAUAAGAGUUUCUUGGGCAGCGCAGCCGGUCGCCGUGGGGCUGGCAGCAAGGCCCUCGGGCUCCCGGCCCCGUGGGCUGACUCCGGGCUUCAGCGGAGACCUGUCCCUUGAAAGCACUAGUAAGCAGGGAGCAAAUCUGUUGAAGCGUCGGUGUCGUGUUUCCAAGAGCGGUGGAGAGGUGACUUUGUAAAUUGUUGUAAAACGUUAUUAAGCGGUGUCUCCCUCAAAUCUGAAAUUCAAACGCUGUGUUAAAAUGGAGAGGUAUUUACUCAGUCUGAACUCUUAAUUAUUUUUUUGAGUGUGCCUAGGGCUAGGGCUGAGCGCUGUUUCGUGGUCCGUGUGUUGCAAUGAAAAUUAAAUAGUAUUUCUUUCUCAGUGACACCGAACGGUAUAUACAUACCGAUGAUGACACUGAUUCUCCUCUCGUUCCCACUGAUGCCAAUCACAAGUACCUCGGUUAAGUCCGUAGUCUCUGUGAAUUUAAUGACCUUUACAAAGACAACAUCAGCACCAGCCCCUUGUAUGAUGUCAAUGAAAUGCCAAAAGUCGUUAUGUGCUGCCAUCCUAGCAAGAGAGAUGUAUUUUGUUUGAGUAAGUUACUAUAAAAAUAUCAGGUGUAAAUGUGCAAUGGAAUGUUAUCUCCCUAAUAUUUUGGUGACAAGUUUUAUAUACCGUUCUACUUUUUAAAUCUAAUGUGAUUAAAAAAAACAUGCAUUUAAAAAUUUUAACUGUAACUCAGGAAGCAUAAUUUACCUAACCACUCAAAAAAAAAAAAAAGGUAAGUAUUUCCCUGCUAGAACAGAAUAUGCUGGCAGUAGCGCAAAAAUCAGUAACCUAAAAGAACGCGUUUUGUGAGAUGCUUGCCAAAGAGAUGUUUCAGUACUGAGGUAUAUAGAGCCCCAGUAGCAGACCAGUUUCAGAAGGGUCAUUGUAGUGCUCUGAGCAUCAAAUAAAGCAGCUCAAAGCUCAGAUUUUCA
Molecule: long non-coding RNA, 2348 nt
Organism: Struthio camelus australis
Lineage: Eukaryota; Metazoa; Chordata; Aves; Struthioniformes; Struthionidae
Source: Ensembl